GCGGGAUUAGCUCAGUUGGAAGAGCGCGAGAUUUACAUUCUUGAUGUCAGCGGUUCGAGCCCGUUAUCCCGUACCA
Molecule: transfer RNA, 76 nt
Filed under: compost metagenome
Description: tRNA-Val
Rfam family: tRNA
About the family: Transfer RNA (tRNA) molecules are approximately 80 nucleotides in length. Their secondary structure includes four short double-helical elements and three loops (D, anti-codon, and T loops).
Source: RNAcentral